GACGAACGCUGGCGGCGUGCUUAACACAUGCAAGUCGAACGGAAAGGCCCUGCUUUUGUGGGGUGCUCGAGUGGCGAACGGGUGAGUAACACGUGAGUAACCUGCCCCUGACUUUGUGAUAACUUCAGGAAACAGGGGCUAAUACCGGAUAGGAGCUCCUGCUGCAUGGGGGGGGUUGGAGAGUUACGGCGGUUGGGGAUGGACUCGCGGCUUAUCAGCUUGUUGGUGAGGUAGUGGCUUACCACGGCUUUGACGGGUAGCCGACCUGAGAGGGUGGCCGGCCACAAUAGGACUGCGAUACGGCCCAGACUCCAACGGGAGGCAGAAGUCGGGAACAUUGCACAAUGGGCCGAAGCGUGAUACAGCAGCGCCGCGUGCGGGAUGACGGCCUACGAGUUGUAAACCGCUUUCGCCUGAGACGAAGCGUGAGUGACGGUAAUGGGUAAAAAAGCACCGGCUAACUACGUG
Molecule: ribosomal RNA, 468 nt
Filed under: uncultured bacterium
Lineage: Bacteria
Description: partial 16S ribosomal RNA
Rfam family: Bacterial small subunit ribosomal RNA
Source: RNAcentral